CCCUCUUCUCUCCGGAAAACCCUCAACUUUCUUAAUCUUCUCUUCAGCAAAUUGUUGUUGUAGCCGCCUUUAUCUUCACUAGAAAACCCCUCUUCACCUCUUUCGAUUCCUCCAAGCUCAAAGGUGAGAAACCUCUGGGUUGCUACUGCCGCCACUUACACCGCUGCUGUCCGAUGAGCUUUUCCGUUACAACAGCCACUAGAGUCUUUCUCUUCUUCUCUUUAAAACUAAGAGCAAUUCCAUGGCUACCUGGGAAGCAUUCAACACAUCCUGUUCAAACGAACAAGUAAAGAAUGGAAUGGCAGUCGAUUUGGAUAAAAAGCAACAUAUGAAUAGUCUCAACAUUAACACAAAGUAACCACUGUAAAGAUCAAGAAAAUCCCAAAAUGUAAGAUAAUAAAAAAAACUUGAAAAUAUUGCAUCUAUUAGCUAAAAUUGUAUCAAAGAGCUUUAUUUACAGUCUAAUAAAACCCACUAAAUACUAGAGAAGAAGAAAAAUCCUAUAAAUCAAAUAAACCUAAAUUGCAUUAUUUUAUCAUAAAAAUCAAAACCCAAAACCUAAAAUCAAAUAACGCAAAUUGCAUCAUUUUUAAAAAAAAAUCAUCAAAGAGAGAAGAAAAUAAAAAGCAAAACUCCAAAAACAACAAAGCCGAAUAAAUAUAAUGUUGAACACCGAAAACAAAAUAGAAAACCCUAGAAGCAUGAAAGGAUCAACUAUUCGAAAAAGGCAACGAAAACAACUUGAAAAGAUAUGAGAUAGAAACGAGAAAGGAAAAAACAAAGAAAAGAAAAGAGAGGCCUUAUGUAUGUGUCAUGGGUUGCGCGGAAGAAUGAAUAGCACAUUUGGUUGAUCCAUUUUAUUCGUGAGGGUCAUAUGGUCCAAUAGGAUUGACCCGUUACUUAGAGAGACUGAAAAUUCAUCUACAUUACAU
Molecule: long non-coding RNA, 932 nt
Filed under: Gossypium barbadense (sea-island cotton)
Lineage: Eukaryota; Viridiplantae; Streptophyta; Magnoliopsida; Malvales; Malvaceae
Description: long non-coding RNA (GBAR_LNC017928)
Source: RNAcentral